GAAAUUUAUAUUUUCACGAGUGGCGUAGCCACGAGUGAAAAUAUUUUUUUCUAUGAUCACGAGUGAAUUAAAUUCGAUAUGCUACCGAAACCAACAAAUUUUCUUUUUAUUUUAUGCUUAUUUUUGUAGUUUUGUUAAUUUUCCGAAUUUGCCUCAUUAAGUUUCCCCGUGGGGUGCCUCAAUUUUUAGAACGCACACAGAACUUACUACACAAGAAAAUAGUUCACAUCUGUAAAAAGUGUAUUACUAUUAAAAUCAAUGUUUUAUUCAACAUAUAUCUUUUUCAUACUUUAUACAUUCAAUAUUAUUACAAACAAUAGUUUAAUUUAAAUUAUUAUGAAAUUAAUAGUGUUGCAUAUACUGGCGUAGUAAUUUGUGUAUUCAACUGAUCUCAAAGUUACGAAAGUGCUCGCCAUGUUGAACAACACUUUUACGACUUGCUGGAUUAAUAACACAUAACUGGAUUAAACUAGGAACGCAAACAUAUUUCAACAGUGUUUUUGUGCUAAAUGGUUUCGAUAUCAAUCACUGUCACUCUCUGCAAUAAGACGGAUUCGCUUGUAGUGUCGCUGUACAGGGGAAUCUGCGGUUACCGCCGGUGUAACUGUACGGGAUGGAGAUUGCCUCUGGUGAUUGACUACGUUCUGUGUCUGGGAAAGGCCCAUGUAAGAUUCAGAGUUGUGAAAAUUAAAUGUUACAUUGCCCUGGAAAUGUGAGUUGACAAAAAAUCCUCGGGCCAUCGGAAAAUCACUUGAUGCAGGUGUGGCUGACGCAGUGGCAGUGGCUGUGCGGUUGUGCUUUUCAACUGACUGGUUUGAAUGAGAAAGUAUUUUUGAAAUAUUUUUUGACUGUUCCUUGUUCAAACUGCUGUAAUUAUUUAAGCUGUUAAUAUUUCUGUGCCCUGAAAUCUGUAUUAUUUGAUGAGCAGGAACAUUCUCGUCAUUCAGCUUCUGAAUCAAGUGCUUUCUUGCACUGAAAAAUGUUUAUAUCUAUGGUAAAAAUAAAAUCAAUAUUCAACGGUACACAUGACAUAUUACAUAAGAUAUAAGUUGUAAUUGUUUUGUGUGCUCUUGAAACACUUCAAUAAAUACAUGGUGGUCUGUCAAGUACUGGAUGUAAUGGAACCGGAAAGUAGAGGAAUAGUACUAGUCGAGUACAGGAGAUUUUAUGAAUUAAAAUUUUGAGUGUUGUAGCAUGAAAAUUGGACAAACAACACCUAUUUAAUAAAUGGGAGGUAAGUGAUUUUUAUUAUAUAUUUUAGUCUUGUUAUGAAAGUAGUGUAUAUAAUAUGGGGUUUUGACCUGUAUGGGGUGAUUCUUGGCUCUUGAAUACCAGCAUCUGUUUUCAUCUCGGUCAUUAUGCUGUAUAGCUUGUUUAUUCCCAUGGCAGACUUCCUGAACCAGCAUUGCUGUGUCUUGUUGCCAGGAGUUAAGAAGAAGGGGCUGUCUUCUGUCAUCAUGUCAACAGGGCGUUUGUCGGCAUAUAGCUUGUAGAGAUGCACCGGAUCUCUGUCAGGUUGUUCGGGAACUGCAUAUGCCCGUGGCUUGACUUUCCUAUGAAUAGUUAAAAUGAUUUUCACCAGUACGGGUUUUUGUCUGACGCUCAGUGUCGAAGGUGAUGAAUUCUUCACCAGUUUCAAAAUCGAUUCCAAGGCUGACAUCACCCCAGCAUAGGGUGUGAAUUUCCUUGCCGGUUCUCAUCCCAAAAUGGGUUGUACAUAUAAGCCACAGUGAGUGUAAUAGAGCUCUUGGGCUUGAUUCUCCCAGAGUUUUAGCUGCGUACAUAGCUUCAAUAUGUUCAUUUGUUAAUGCCUGGGCUUGAUGCGGUUUAUUUCCAUAACCUUCUUUUUUCAGAGCUUUUUGUUUACUUUUUAAUACUUCCCUCACUUUGGCAAAUUCAGGGUCAUUUAUCAAAGAGUGCUUGUAGUUCAUGUGCCUUAAAUGCCUGUCGAUUGAGCUUAAAAAUGCCCUCAAAGAUGUGGGUUCAUACUCUGAUCCAUCUUUUUUAGUCACACCCAACAAAAACUCGCAGACCAGAGGGUUCAAUUCAUGAGGAGGUAUAGUUUCAAUAUUUCUUGCCUCAUUUUUGUGACUUUUUAGGAAA
Long non-coding RNA from Dreissena polymorpha, 2103 nucleotides. RefSeq lists it as uncharacterized. The record is from RefSeq and is a predicted model, not a curated record. Lineage: Eukaryota; Metazoa; Mollusca; Bivalvia; Myida; Dreissenidae. The transcript has 2 exons.